UAUGUAUAUUGUUGAUAGAAACUGAACUGCA
This 31-nucleotide non-coding RNA is filed under the name Rattus norvegicus (Norway rat). Lineage: Eukaryota; Metazoa; Chordata; Mammalia; Rodentia; Muridae. The record is from RNAcentral.